Molecule: ribosomal RNA, 468 nt
Filed under: uncultured bacterium
Lineage: Bacteria
Description: partial 16S ribosomal RNA
Rfam family: Bacterial small subunit ribosomal RNA
Source: RNAcentral
GACGAACGCUGGCAGCGUGCUUAACACAUGCAAGUCGAACGGAAAGGCCCUGCUUUUGUGGGGUGCUCGAGUGGCGAACGGGUGAGUAACACGUGAGUAACCUGCCCUUGACUUUGGAAUAACUUCAGGAAACUGGGGCUAAUACCGGAUAGGAGCUCCUGCUGCAUGGUGGGGGUUGGAAAGUUUCGGCGGUUGGGGAUGGACUCGCGGCUUAUCAGCUUGUUGGUGGGGUAGUGGCUUACCAAGGCUUUGACGGGUAGCCGGCCUGAGAGGGUGACCGGCCACAUUGGGACUGAGAUACGGCCCAGACUCCUACGGGAGGCAGCAGUGGGGAAUAUUGCACAAUGGGCGGAAGCCUGAUGCAGCAACGCCGCGUGCGGGAUGACGGCCUUCGGGUUGUAAACCGCUUUCGCCUGUGACGAAGCGUGAGUGACGGUAAUGGGUAAAGAAGCACCGGCUAACUACGUG